This 253-nucleotide ribosomal RNA is filed under the name uncultured bacterium. RNAcentral describes it as "partial 16S ribosomal RNA". It matches the Rfam family "Bacterial small subunit ribosomal RNA", at positions 524 to 776 of the family's 1533-position model. The record is from RNAcentral.
UACGUAGGGGGCAAGCGUUGUCCGGAUUUAUUGGGCGUAAAGAGCGUGUAGGCGGCUAGAUAGGUCCGUUGUGAAAACUCGAGGCUCAACUUCGAGCUGUCGGUGGAAACUGUCUGGCUAGAGUCCGGAAGAGGAGAAUGGAAUUCCUGGUGUAGCGGUGAAAUGCGCAGAUAUCAGGAAGAACACCCGUGGCGAAGGCGGUUCUCUGGGACGGUACUGACGCUGAGACGCGAAAGCGUGGGGAGCGAACAGG